GACGAACGCUGGCGGCGUGCCUAAUACAUGCAAGUCGAACGCAUUUUCUUUCACCGUAGCUUGCUACACCGAAAGAAAAUGAGUGGCGAACGGGUGAGUAACACGUGGGUAACCUGCCCAUCAGCGGGGGAUAACACUUGGAAACAGGUGCUAAUACCGCAUAAUUCCAUUUACCGCAUGGUAAAUGGAUGAAAGGCGCUUUUGCGUCACUGAUGGAUGGACCCGCGGUGCAUUAGCUAGUUGGUGGGGUAACGGCCUACCAAGGCUGCGAUGCAUAGCCGACCUGAGAGGGUGAUCGGCCACACUGGGACUGAGACACGGCCCAGACUCCUACGGGAGGCAGCAGUAGGGAAUCUUCGGCAAUGGACGCAAGUCUGACCGAGCAACGCCGCGUGAGUGAAGAAGGUUUUCGGAUCGUAAAACUCUGUUGUUAGAGAAGAACAAGGAUGAGAGUGGAAAGUUCAUCCCUUGACGGUAUCUAACCAGAAAGCCACGGUUAACUACGUG
This 507-nucleotide ribosomal RNA is filed under the name uncultured bacterium. RNAcentral's name for it is "partial 16S ribosomal RNA". It matches the Rfam family "Bacterial small subunit ribosomal RNA", at positions 28 to 507 of the family's 1533-position model. The record is from RNAcentral.